This 212-nucleotide non-coding RNA is filed under the name Cellulosilyticum lentocellum. Its description in RNAcentral is "Clostridium lentocellum T-box sequence". It matches the Rfam family "T-box leader". From Rfam's summary of the family: Uncharged tRNA acts as the effector for transcription antitermination of genes in the T-box leader family. T-boxes are found upstream of many aminoacyl-tRNA synthetase genes and some amino acid biosynthetic genes usually in Gram-positive bacteria. The anticodon of a specific tRNA base pairs to a specifier sequence within the T-box motif, and the NCCA acceptor tail of the tRNA base pairs to a conserved bulge in the T-box antiterminator hairpin. The record is from RNAcentral. Lineage: Bacteria; Bacillati; Bacillota; Clostridia; Lachnospirales; Cellulosilyticaceae.
AUAAAAGCAAUGAAAGAAAGAGUAUUAUGAAAAAUUAUGUCAGAGAAGACUCGGUUGGUGAAAGAGUUUCAUAGUGAUUCAUAAGAAGUGCAUUCUGGAGCUGGAUAUGUGAAGUAGUUUAGCAUAUCUCGUAGACUGACGUUACCAGUAAAUGAGAUAGGGGAUUUAUGUCCCUUAAUCAGAGUGGAACCGCGAGUGACUUCGCCUCUGAA